This is a long non-coding RNA of Macaca fascicularis (crab-eating macaque), 1874 nucleotides long. NCBI's taxonomy places the organism in Eukaryota, Metazoa, Chordata, Mammalia, Primates, Cercopithecidae. The record is from Ensembl.
UUUUUUUUUUUUUGAGACAGUGUCUCGCUCUGUCACCCAGACUGGAGUGCAGUGGCACAAUCUCCGCUCACUGUAACCUCUGCCUCACAGGUUCAAGCAAUUCUCCUGCCUCAGCCUCCCAAGUAGCUGGGAUUACAGUCAUGGAGUCAUCAAAUCUCAGGCUACUGGAUUUUAUUUUCCCAGCCUCUCUUUUGGCCAGAUGUGGCCACAUGGUAGGUCCAGGCCAAGGACCCAUAAGCAGAAGUGCUGGGUGGGGUUCCAGGGACACUCUCUCAAGGGAGCUAACUCAGAUGGGAGCUCUACUCCUUUCUUCUUUCUGCUGCCCGGAACUCAGAUGUGAUGGCUGAACUCCAGCAGCCAGGUUAGACCAUGAGGUGUCCUCGGGAAGGGAAAUGGCACACUAGGAUGGUAGAGCUGAAAGACUGAAGAAGGAGCAAGGUCCCUGGUGCCUGUGAAGCCCCCAUACAGCCUCAGACUACUCACUUCCAGACUUCUUUUAUGAGAAAGACAAAGAAACUUCUAUGCUCUGUAAGACACACUUAUUCUGGACUUUCUAUUACAAGCAGUCGAAUGUAUUCCUAUCUGAAAGAGAUGCAGUAGCAGAAACAACCUCAGUCUCUGGAGACUCAAUGCCUAUGAAAGGUGUCAUUGAGAGGUGAAGAUAUCUAGCAUAGCCUUAGAAUUCUCCCUGGGACCAUGGCCUCAUAACUGUAAAUGUCCAGUAUGCGGGGCCCGAGUACUUUAUUAUUUUUUUUUUAGAGAUGGGGUCUCACUAUGUUGCCCAGGCUGGAUUCAAACUCUUGGGCUCAACGGAUUCUUCCACCUCAACCUCCCAAGUAGCUGGGACGACAGCUGCAUGCCACCAGGCCCAGCCCACGUCUUUUAAAGACCACUUGGCUGUGGGGUCUCCACUACAGACCUAUAAAAGAAAUGAGAGAGCACUUGCCCCACCUUUAUGGGAGUGGCUCCUUGAAGGAGUGGACAGGUGCCAGCUAGUCCAGACAGGAGAGGAGCUGCACUCUGCAAAGUGUUGCCAUAAAACCAUGUCAUAAUAUGUGAGAUGGGAAAAGCAAUAUGUCUGCAUCAAAGCAUUUCAUGUCGUAUGUAAUCGUAAAUGUGUGUAUGUGCAACUAGAUCAGUGAGUUGGACUAGAUAAGUAGAUGUCUCACAAUUUCAUCUAUGUCCCCGCAAGUUCAUGUGUUCAGGCUCGCUGCUCAUUACUCAAACUCCUUUUGAAGCUUCUCUUCGGGAAAAUAGGCACCCACCACCAUCUAUUCAGGAUCACCAGGUGUAUUAGGCAAGCCUGGGCAAUGGCUGUCUUGCAGAAUAGGUGUGUAUCCCCCUUGCAUGACUGCAAAGACUGGUUUUGUUAAAUAAUAUAUUUGUUUGAAAAAGCAAUCACAUUAUUUUAUUAUUGGUAGCAUUUGAUAAAUCCUAAUCAUGUGGAUAAUUCUAAUAAUAUAUUCUAAUCACGUGGAUUCUUAUGAUAGCCUAAUGAUAGCGAUGAUGACGUUCUAGUGAUGAACGUAACAAUCUAUUCUAAUCGUGCAGGUGUCCUGUUGGUACGAGAUGCCCUGUGAAAGCAUCUUUGAUCUUCUCGCCUUGGAUUUUAACUUGACACCUGUCCCUAAUGGGUCAUUCACGGGUCUUCGAUAGAACGGCCGCUGGUCACCUCCUGAAGUGGUUCUUACUGGGGUCAGAUAACUCAGGCCCAGUUCUUCCAGCAUCUCAAGCCAUGUGCUUCCACAAGCAUGGUAUUGAUAACAUGUGCUCUAGGCAUUGCCUGAACCCUGACAUGAUGGCCACACCAACUUCUGGAACUCUUGGGAGUGGGAUCCUUCAGCAAGAGUAGAUCUGGCCCCAGUCAGCCUUCC